ACGCUCGACACCUACGGAAGGCAGCAGUGGGGAAUAUUGCACAAUGGGGGAAACCCUGAUGCAGCGACGCCGCGUGAGCGAAGAAGUAUUUCGGUAUGUAAAGCUCUAUCAGCAGGGAAGAAACUGACGGUACCUGACUAAGAAGCACCGGCUAAAUACGUGCCACNGCGCGAUNUGAGCGGCGNGNGAG
RNAcentral lists this ribosomal RNA (190 nucleotides) under uncultured bacterium. RNAcentral's name for it is "partial 16S ribosomal RNA". It matches the Rfam family "Bacterial small subunit ribosomal RNA", at positions 326 to 538 of the family's 1533-position model. The record is from RNAcentral.